GACGUAGGGAGCGAGCGUUGUCCGGAUUCAUUGGGCGUAAAGAGCGCGUAGGCGGCCGUGCAAGUCGGUUGUGAAAUCCCGGGGCUCAACCCCGGGACUGCGUCCGAUACUGCACGGCUUGAGGCAGGUAGGGGAGAGUGGAAUUCCCGGUGUAGCGGUGAAAUGCGCAGAUAUCGGGAGGAACACCGGUGGCGAAGGCGGCUCUCUGGACCUGUCCUGACGCUGAGGCGCGAAAGCUAGGGGAGCGAACAGG
This 253-nucleotide ribosomal RNA is filed under the name uncultured bacterium. RNAcentral describes it as "partial 16S ribosomal RNA". It matches the Rfam family "Bacterial small subunit ribosomal RNA", at positions 524 to 776 of the family's 1533-position model. The record is from RNAcentral.